UGUGAUGACCCAAACGUUUAUUCCUGGAGGUUCUGGGAUCUUAGCAGUCCGUCGUGAUUGCAGUGGCUAUAGUCAGAUUGGCCUUGAGGCCUAUUCAGAUAUUCAUACCAUGUGCUGCAGAGGAAGGAUAUCACAGAAUGUUUUGAUUUGGAUGACUGGUAGGAGAAAUGGGAGAAGACUGUUUAUAGCCCUGAAAUGAGACCUAGAAGGGGAAGUCCCCACAGGAGACAGAGCAAGACAAGGACAGAAGAUUUGACUACUGUGAAGAAGGACUGAAAAAUUUUAAACUACAAGGUGAUGGUGAGGAUGCUAGAUAUCAGGAGACCAGAGAUCACACAAGCGCAGCCGAGAGGAGCCACUCCACGUCCGAGGUCAGGGGCAGAAGCCGGGAGGACCCCAUACCCGAAGGGCGGCGGCCAAGAGGAGUUACCCCACAUCCGAGGUCAGGGGCAGCGGCUGAGAGUACCAGAGUGCGACGGUGCAGGAACGGCAGAGAGGAACUACCCCGCGUCUGAGGUAAGGUGGGGCAGCCAAGAGGAGCGACGACGAGAGGAGUUACCCCACAUCCGAGGUCAGGGGCAGCGGCCGGGAGGAGCUACCCCAUGCCCCCAAGCCCGAGGCCAAGGGCGGUGGCCGGGAGG
This is a long non-coding RNA of Bos taurus (domestic cattle), 641 nucleotides long. Lineage: Eukaryota; Metazoa; Chordata; Mammalia; Artiodactyla; Bovidae. The record is from Ensembl.